AACUUCUGAAUGUUGACCUCGGAUCAGGUAGGAAUACCCGCUGAACUUAAGCAUAUCAAUAAGCGGAG
Molecule: ribosomal RNA, 68 nt
Filed under: Fusarium graminearum
Lineage: Eukaryota; Fungi; Ascomycota; Sordariomycetes; Hypocreales; Nectriaceae
Description: partial 28Sribosomal RNA
Rfam family: Eukaryotic large subunit ribosomal RNA (bases 14-68)
Source: RNAcentral